UGCUACCAUGCAGUCGAACGGCAGCACAGGAGAGCUUGCUCUCUGGGUGGCGAGUGGCGGACGGGUGAGGAAUGCAUCGGAAUCUACUCUUUCGUGGGGGAUAACGUAGGGAAACUUACGCUAAUACCGCAUACGACCUACGGGUGAAAGCCGGGGACCUUCGGGCCUGGCGCGAAUGAAUGAGCCGAUGCCCGAUUAGCUAGUUGGCGGGGUAAGAGCCCACCAAGGCGACGAUCGGUAGCUGGUCUGAGAGGAUGAUCAGCCACACUGGAACUGAGACACGGUCCAGACUCCUACGGGAGGCAGCAGUGGGGAAUUUUGGACAAUGGGCGCAAGCCUGAUCCAGCAAUGCCGCGUGAGUGAAGAAGGCCUUCGGGUUGUAAAGCUCUUUUGUCAGGGGAGAAACGGCUCCGGCUAAUAUCCGGGGCUAAUGACGGUACCUGAAGAAUAAGCACCGGCUAACUACGUGCCAGCAGCCGCGGUAAUACGUAGGGUGCAAGCGUUAAUCGGAAUUACUGGGCGUAAAGCGUGCGCAGGCGGUUUUGUAAGUCUGUCGUGAAAGCCCCGGGCUCAACCUGGGAAUUGCGAUGGAGACUGCAAGGCUUGAAUCUGGCAGAGGGGGGUAGAAUUCCACGUGUAGCAGUGAAAUGCGUAGAGAUGUGGAGGAACACCGAUGGCGAAGGCAGCCCCCUGGGUCAAGAUUGACGCUCAUGCACGAAAGCGUGGGGAGCAAACAGGAUUAAUACCCUGGUAGUCCACGCCCUAAACGAUGUCUACUAUUGUCGGGUUUUAAUUAACUUGGUAACGCACUAACGCGUGAAGUAGACCGCCUGGGGAGUACGGUCGCAAGAUUAAAACUCAAAGGAAUUGAC
RNAcentral lists this ribosomal RNA (872 nucleotides) under uncultured bacterium. RNAcentral describes it as "bacterial SSU rRNA". It matches the Rfam family "Bacterial small subunit ribosomal RNA", at positions 45 to 914 of the family's 1533-position model. The record is from RNAcentral.